This 60-nucleotide transfer RNA is filed under the name Culex quinquefasciatus (southern house mosquito). It matches the Rfam family "tRNA", at positions 7 to 64 of the family's 71-position model. Rfam says of the family: Transfer RNA (tRNA) molecules are approximately 80 nucleotides in length. Their secondary structure includes four short double-helical elements and three loops (D, anti-codon, and T loops). Lineage: Eukaryota; Metazoa; Arthropoda; Insecta; Diptera; Culicidae. The record is from Rfam by way of RNAcentral.
GUGGCCGAAUGGUUAAGCUGUCCGCUUAGUAAGCGGAAGACCAUGGGUUCGAUUUCCAUC